This 382-nucleotide ribosomal RNA is filed under the name uncultured archaeon. Its description in RNAcentral is "bacterial SSU rRNA". It matches the Rfam family "Archaeal small subunit ribosomal RNA", at positions 550 to 932 of the family's 1478-position model. The record is from RNAcentral.
CCUCAAGGCUCAACCUUGAGAUCGCUGGAGAUACUGUUAGGCUAGGGGGCGGGAGAGGUUGAGGGUACUUCGCGGGUAGGGGCGAAAUCCUAUAAUCCGCGAAGGACCACCAGUGGCGAAGGCGCUCAACUGGAACGCGCCCGACGGUGAGGGACGAAAGCCAGGGGAGCAAAGGGGAUUAGAUACCCCCGUAGUCCUGGCUGUAAACGAUGCGGGCUAGGUGUUGGGUUGGCUUCGUGCCAACCCGGUGCCGCAGUGAAGACGAUAAGCCCGCCGCCUGGGAAGUACGGCUGCAAGGCUGAAACUUAAAGGAAUUGGCGGGGGAGCACCACAAGGGGUGAAGCCUGCGGUUUAAUUGGAGUCAACGCCGGGAAUCUUACCG